GAAAGCGUAAUAGCUCACUAGUCGAGUCGGCCUGCGCGGAAGAUGUAACGGGGCUCAAAUAUAGCACCGAAGCUGCGGCAUCAGAAUUUAUUCUGUUGGGUAGGGGAGCGUUGUGUAAGCGGAUGAAGGUGGCUCGAGAGGGUUGCUGGACGUAUCACAAGUGCGAAUGCUGACAUAAGUAACGAUAAAACGAGUGAAAAAACUCGUUCGCCGGAAGACCAAGGGUUCCUGUCCAACGUUAAUCGGGGCCAGGGUGAGUCGGGCCCCCUAAGGCGAGGCUGAAAAAGCGUAGUCGAUGGGAAACGGGUUAAUAUUCCCGUACUUGGGAUAAACUGCGAUGUGGGGACGGAGAAGGGUUAGGUUAGCAGACUGUUGGAUGUCUGUUUAAGGUGGUAGGUGGAAGACUUAGGCAAAUCCGGGUCUUUAUAAACACUGAGAGCUGAUGACGAGGUCUUAAGGGACUGAAGUAAACUGAUACCCUGCUUCCAGGAAAAGCCACUAAGCUUCAGGUUUUAUCUAAACCGUACUGAAAAACCGACACAGGGUGGUCAGGUAGAGAAUAUCAGGCGCUUGAGAGAACUCGGGGUGAAGGAACUAGGCAAAAUAGCACCGUAACUUCGGGAGAAGGUGCGCUUACAGUAAUUGUAGUCCCUUGCGGAUGAAGGUGAAGUAAGUCGAAGAUACCAGCUGGCUGCAACUGUUUAUUAAAAACACAGCACUCUGCAAACACGAAAAGUGGAACGUAUAGGGUGUGAUUGCCUGCCCGGUGCUGGAAGGUUAAUUGAUGGUGUUUAUCGAAAGAGAAGCUCCUUGAUCGAAAGCCCCAGUAAACGGCGGCCGUAACUAUAACGGUCCUAAAGGUAGGCGAAAUUCCUUGUCGGGUAAGUUCCGACCUGCACGAAUGGCCAUAAUGAUGGCCAGGCUGUCUCCACCCCGAGACUCAGUGAAAUUGAAAUCGCCGUGAAGAUGCGGUGUACCCGCGGCUAGACGGAAAGACCCCCUGAACCUUUACUAUAGCUUGACACUGAACAUUGAAUUUUGAUGUGUAGGAUAGGUGGGGAGCCUUUGAAGCAGUGACGCCAGUCAUUGUGGAGGCGACCUUGAAAUACCACCCUUUAACGUUUGAUGUUCUAACGAAGUGCCUGAAACGGGUACUCGGACGAGUGUCUGGUGGGUAGUUUGACUGGGGCGGUCUCCUCCCAAAGCGUAACGGAGGAGCACGAAGGUUUGCUAAUGACGGUCGGACAUCGUCAGGUUAGUGCAAUGGUAUAAGCAAGCUUAACUGCGAGACAGACAAGUCGAGCAGGGUGCGAAAGCAGGUCAUAGUGAUCCGGUGGUUCUGAAUGGGAAGGGCCAUCGCUCAACGGAUAAAAGGUACUCCGGGGAUAACAGGCUGGAUACCGCCCAAGAGUUCAUAUCGACGGCGGUGUUUGGCACCUCGAUGUCGGCUCAUCACAUCCUGGGGCUGAAGGUAGGUCCCAAGGGUAUGGCUGUUCGCCAUUUAAAGUGGUACGCGAGCUGGGUUUAGAACGUCGUGAGACAGUUCGGUCCCCUAUCUGCCGUGGGCGUUGGAUGAUUGAUUGGGGCUGCUCCUAGUACGAGAGGACCGGAGUGGACGCAUCACUGGUGUUCCAGUUGUCUCGCCAGAGGCAUUUGCUGGGUAGCUAAAUGCGGAAGAGAUAAGUGCUGAAAGCAUCUAAGCACGAAACUUGCCAAGAGAUGAGUCAUCCCUGACUUUAAGGUCAGUAAGGGUUGUUGUAGACUACGACGUAGAUAGGUUGGGGUGUGUAAGUGUAGUGAUACAUUGAGCUAACCAAUACUAAAUUGCCCGAGAGGCUUAACUAUACAACGCUCAAG
Molecule: ribosomal RNA, 1857 nt
Filed under: Pasteurella multocida
Lineage: Bacteria; Pseudomonadati; Pseudomonadota; Gammaproteobacteria; Pasteurellales; Pasteurellaceae
Description: bacterial LSU rRNA
Rfam family: Bacterial large subunit ribosomal RNA
Source: RNAcentral